This is an RNA transcript of Papaver somniferum (opium poppy), 2517 nucleotides long. RefSeq lists it as uncharacterized. The record is from RefSeq and is a predicted model, not a curated record. Lineage: Eukaryota; Viridiplantae; Streptophyta; Magnoliopsida; Ranunculales; Papaveraceae. The transcript is spliced from 5 exons.
CUCCAUCUUUUUUCAUUCCAAACAAUUUUCCCAUUAUCGCGGAAAAAUCCUAAAAAGCAAAAUCUUUUCUGUGUCUCCAUGAUCCUUCUAUUUCUUUUCUCUUCUCACAACCAUAUUUUGAUCUUAAGACCCUAUUCGUUCAUCUUAAACCUAAACGCUAUUUUAGAGGAAGAGUACAUUGUUGGUGUCACUGAUUUGUGUGGAUUUCAUGGAGUCAGAGAUGGGUUUGUGCGAUUUGGAAUCUUCCAAGGGUUUGAGGAGCGAACGUAGAUGCAGAACGAGUUUCUCAUGGAUUUGAGUUAGACCCGAAAUUAACAAAGUUUUCUCUGAUUGUAUUCUCUUUUCAACUAAGGAUUUAAGACGGGUACUGGGUUGUUCAUGAGUUUUUCAGCUAAUUCUCAAAGGCGGGAAGGUCCUUGGAAUCAAUAUCAAUAAAAAGUAACAGUUUAGUACCAAAACCUAAGGAAUGUGAGAGCUUCUUCACUGACAUCAUUUGGUCCUCUUUCUGAUUUCUUUGCAAUCAGUUCUGGCCAUGGUGGGAGCAAGGUAAGAUCUCUGAUCAAUCAUUUGAUGGGGAUACCAGUGGUGGAAAAGUAUGAAGAUUGCAGUUGGGCAAAUAACAGUCAUGUGGCCAGCAGUGGUGCUAACCAUCUUCCUUGUGUUGAUGGUCCAAAUUAGUAGUUCAGAAGGUCUCCUUCAUUCAUUGAAAUGCGAAAUUUCAACAAAUCAUCUCCAAAAUACAAGUAAGAAUUCUCAUAUACACUAUGAAGAAGAAUUUCAGCAGUUUUACCAAUUGGGUUAUCAUCAACUUCAAUCACAUUUUCAAAACAGUAACCCAAACCAGAAAAUUCAAAAAAAUUUGGCUCUCAAGUUUUGGUCAAUCAUUCUCCGAGAUUAUAGCAACGCUCCUAAAGAAAAGCAGACAAUCUCCAUGUUACCAAAAUUUUCUGAAUCCCGAAUAUAUUAUCUCCAAUAUUACAGAAAUAAUUUUGGUUAUAAACUGAUUCUAGUUUUACUCCCAUAUCCAAUUCAAUCUAGGGUUUCCCAAGACAAAAAAUCCUUUACUUGUUUAUCAUAUAUAUGCAAACCCUUCCUCAAUACCCAAGAGUAUAUUAAGAAGGAGAAAAAGAUCAGAAAAGCUCAACUCUUAUACCAAAUUCCAAUACAGAGAAAACAAUCCUAUCUAUCAGGCAAAAGUAUGUCUUCUUCUCAAGGAUAUCGCAUCAAUCAAUUAUCCAGACAGCUAAGGAAUGCAAAUAUUGAUUUAAAUGCAAACCAAAGAAGAACAGUUGGUUCAACUCAAUUGAUCAACCAGGCUGCAGACCAAUGGACUUAUAGAAUUCUAGGAAAGCUGAAGGAGAAAACCAAGAUGAAGAUGAGAAUCAUAAGGGAAGAAAUCAAUUCUUUGUGCGGUAAAUAUCAGAAUAAGGAGAUUAGAAUCAUGGGGCAUAACCUAUUGCUUAUCAGACUCAACAAUGAAGCUGAAACAGAUGAAGUAAUAGCAGAUGGUCCUUGGCUAAUUGAUGGAGUGUUAUUUCAUGUUCAGAAGUUUCACAACAACAUUCCUCUGAAAGAUUAUGUAUUUGAUAAGCAAAUUUUUAACAUUCAAUUCAAAUACUUGAGGUUGGAGCAUAUGAAUGUAGCUGUGAUAGAUGAAGCCAUAAACUACAGGGGAAGGAAGAUCUCAACAAAGCCAAAGAACUGCAGACCUAAAGCAGGAACUACAGUUAAAGCCAGAAUUGAAGUGAACUUGAAUAAACCCCUCCACAGAGGAGGAUGGUGGACGACACUUACAAAUGAAGAUGUUUGGAUCAGAUAUCACUGGGAAAUGCAGCCGAAGAACAUCUGCCAAAAAUAUUUUGUCAUUGUCCAUGAUGAGGAAAAUUGUGAGUAUACUUCUCAUUUGCUCUAUCUAGACUCCUUGUCUACUGCUGAAUAUGAAGCUCUUCUUAAAGAGGACAGCGAAACCAAUAAGGAUAAAGAAAAAAGUAGCUCAACUACUUACAUGGAGGAAGAACUAGCUGAAGAUGGUAAUUUAUAAGAUUCAAGAAAUGUCAAAAGAAUGAUAAAUUCCAAUCUCAACUCUGAGCCUUUAAUGAACCCUCACAACAUCCAUAUUCAACCUCCUGAAACUACUUAGGCACAAGAUACUACUAAUUUGGAUCAACAACACAACACAAUGAUGGAAUCGGAUGAACCAACUGCAAUGAUAUCUGCACCCAUGGAUGAUUGUGUCAGAGUCUCCUCUCAGACAGAGUUGGACUAGCUGGUGGCCUUAUCUUGAUGUGGAAAGAUAGAAUUAAACGUGAAGUUCAAGAAGCCUCUAAUAAUAUUAUUCAUGUUGUACCUAAACUUCAUCAAGCUAAAACAGAUGUUUAGAUUUCUUUCAUGUAUGGUUCCACAUAUUCUGAUCUUAAAAAAAUUCAAUGGGAAUUCAUGAAUAGAAUCAGUGAAUCUGCUAGUCAGCCUUGGCUUGUCAUUGGUGAUCUUAAUGUGCACCUUCAUAGUUCAGAUGCC